Molecule: ribosomal RNA, 892 nt
Filed under: Streptomyces sp.
Lineage: Bacteria; Bacillati; Actinomycetota; Actinomycetes; Kitasatosporales; Streptomycetaceae
Description: bacterial SSU rRNA
Rfam family: Bacterial small subunit ribosomal RNA
Source: RNAcentral
AGAGUUUGAUCCUGGCUCAGACGAACGCUGGCGGCGUGCUUAACACAUGCAAGUCGAACGAUGAAGCCCUUCGGGGUGGAUUAGUGGCGAACGGGUGAGUAACACGUGGGCAAUCUGCCCUUCACUCUGGGACAAGCCCUGGAAACGGGGUCUAAUACCGGAUAACACUCCUGCCUGCAUGGGCGGGGGUUAAAAGCUCCGGCGGUGAAGGAUGAGCCCGCGGCCUAUCAGCUUGUUGGUGGGGUAAUGGCCCACCAAGGCGACGACGGGUAGCCGGCCUGAGAGGGCGACCGGCCACACUGGGACUGAGACACGGCCCAGACUCCUACGGGAGGCAGCAGUGGGGAAUAUUGCACAAUGGGCGAAAGCCUGAUGCAGCGACGCCGCGUGAGGGAUGACGGCCUUCGGGUUGUAAACCUCUUUCAGCAGGGAAGAAGCGAAAGUGACGGUACCUGCAGAAGAAGCGCCGGCUAACUACGUGCCAGCAGCCGCGGUAAUACGUAGGGCGCAAGCGUUGUCCGGAAUUAUUGGGCGUAAAGAGCUCGUAGGCGGCUUGUCACGUCGGAUGUGAAAGCCCGAGGCUUAACCUCGGGUCUGCAUUCGAUACGGGCUAGCUAGAGUGUGGUAGGGGAGAUCGGAAUUCCUGGUGUAGCGGUGAAAUGCGCAGAUAUCAGGAGGAACACCGGUGGCGAAGGCGGAUCUCUGGGCCAUUACUGACGCUGAGGAGCGAAAGCGUGGGGAGCGAACAGGAUUAGAUACCCUGGUAGUCCACGCCGUAAACGUUGGGAACUAGGUGUUGGCGACAUUCCACGUCGUCGGUGCCGCAGCUAACGCAUUAAGUUCCCCGCCUGGGGAGUACGGCCGCAAGGCUAAAACUCAAAGGAAUUGACGG